UACAGAGGUCUCAAGCGUUGUUCGGAUUCAUUGGGCGUAAAGGGUGCGUAGGCGGCGCGGUAAGUCGGGUGUGAAAUCUCGGAGCUUAACUCCGAAACUGCAUUCGAUACUGCCGUGCUUGAGGACUGGAGAGGAGACUGGAAUUUACGGUGUAGCGGUGAAAUGCGUAGAUAUCGUAAGGAAGACCAGUGGCGAAGGCGGGUCUCUGGACAGUUCCUGACGCUGAGGCGCGAAAGCUAGGGGAGCGAACAGG
Molecule: ribosomal RNA, 253 nt
Filed under: uncultured bacterium
Lineage: Bacteria
Description: partial 16S ribosomal RNA
Rfam family: Bacterial small subunit ribosomal RNA
Source: RNAcentral